CCCUUAGAUGUUCUGGGCCGCACGCGCGCUACACUGAUGCAUUCAACGAGUCUAAAACCUGCUCUGAUAGGGGUGGGUAAUCUUUUGAAUGUGCAUCGUGAUUGGGAUAGAUGAUUGCAAUUUUUAAUCUUCAACGAGGAAUGCCUAGUAAACGCAAGUCAUCAGCUUGCAUUGAUUACGUCCCUGCCCUUUGUACACACCGCCCGUCGCUCCUACCGAUUGAAUGAUCCGAUGAAUAUCAUGGAUUGAGGAUGCAAGUAGGUUCGCCUAUCUUCAUCUUCGAGAAGUGAAGUAAAUCUUAUCAUUUAGAGGAAGGAGAAGUCGUAACA
RNAcentral lists this ribosomal RNA (329 nucleotides) under uncultured eukaryote. RNAcentral describes it as "partial 18S ribosomal RNA". It matches the Rfam family "Eukaryotic small subunit ribosomal RNA", at positions 1470 to 1796 of the family's 1831-position model. The record is from RNAcentral.